RNAcentral lists this ribosomal RNA (141 nucleotides) under Lasionycteris noctivagans (Silver-haired bat). Its description in RNAcentral is "partial 16S ribosomal RNA". The record is from RNAcentral. Lineage: Eukaryota; Metazoa; Chordata; Mammalia; Chiroptera; Vespertilionidae.
AACUAAACAUAGCUUAAUAAAUUAAAUAUCAUAAAACUACUAUUACAUAAUUUAAAUAAAUCAUUUAUAUAUUAAAGUAUAGGUGAUAGAAAUUAUAUUCAACGCCAUAGAGAGAGUACCGUAAGGGAAAAAAUGAAAGAA